AUAAGCAAGAAUCUGUAAAUUUAUUGGUACGUGUGAGUGAAAUAAAUGGUAGGUUAAUUAUGGUAUGGUAUGAAAUAAUUGACUUAUAAUGGUCAGCCUAAGGAAGUACUUAUGUCAUUAAGAGGAAGAUCUAAAGGCCUUGAAUGAAAAUUUGGACUAAUUGGUUAAUGCUCGUAUGGUGCCCUCGCACGACAUACCAGAUUAGUAUAAUAAAGUAAUGCGAAUGAUUAAAUCUGAGGUUAGACAUAAAGUUGUAAGUAGUUCAAGUGACGGUAGAAAUGUAGAUUAAUGUCUAAACCACGUGACGAGUAUGGGUAAGGGAGUAUGAAAAUGAUAGUUAUGUUAGUGUAUUAAUAUCCAAAUGUCUACAGUAAUGUGUAUUAGUAUAUGCUCACCUCCUAUGAAGAUAUGAAAGAAAUUAGGAGCAACGUUAGUAAUGGAAUGUAGCGGUUGCCCUAGAUAAGCGGGAAUGGAAUAAUAAUAAGUAUCCAGUGAUAGCGUUAAAUUUAAAAUGAAUGCAGGUAAAAAGAUUGAGUAAGUAAAUGGUCCAAAUUAUUAUAUGUUAACGAAAGUGCCUAGAAAGGUUAAUAAAGAUAGAACACCGAGUUCAAAACCACAAUAAGUAUUGGUAGGGAAAAUGUUAGAAUGUAAUAUUUUCUUUAUUAUAUGAGUGAGUUUGAAAUAGUAUGACUCACUACAAAUGGUAGAUGCAUGAAAGUUCAAUGCCUGACUCAUAGAGCGAGAACAAGAUAUCCACUUAUGGUUGAAAAUGAAACCCACCCCUUAUAUAAGUCGCAAGUGUUUUUGGAAUGUAAAGAGCAUAAUGAAUGAAGAGAUGAAUGGAUUAAAGGUAGAAUUGUCCAAGUAGGAAUGAGCAAGGUUUCGGGGACGAAACCUCUUUUAAGGGGGGUAGACUUGUAACACCCCAAAAGUCGUAUAUAAAAAUAUGACGAAAUAAGUAAUUAUGAAUGUAAUUGUCGUUAGAAUGGUAAGUAGAAUUAUGAACAUUGUUAAAGCGGUAAAUAGGAUUUUAACCUAAAAGAAUGCAUUUUGGCCAUAAUAAUAUAAACAUCCAAACAUGAGGGCUUAAAUUGUAAUGAAUGGAAAGAUUAAAUGCAACACCCCAAUUUCUAAGUCUUGACGUGCUGCAUUAAGUUUCGGAUUAAAUCAUGACAAAAAUAAAAUGACUUAUUUAUUAGAGAAGUGUUUGUCAAAAGUGUGAAUGCACAUUUAAAGAGACUCGUACAAAACAUCUCAAGAAACGCUCGUUUUAUGCAAAUCUAGAAGUUUCGGGUUAAAAAUGUCAAACUAUUGAACUAAGAGGGACCAAGGGUGAUAAGUGGCAAACUUUAAUACCCUAAAACAUGUUAGGGCUGCCUCCAUCUCCCUCACAUUGAUAAUUUUCGGUUUUGGGAGCUAAGGAGGAGAGAGAAGGGAGAAAUCCCGUUUUUGAAGUUUAUAGCAGCAAAGAUCAGACGAUUCCCGAAGAUCUAACCGUUGGAUCGAGCUCAAAUUUGGAUCGAGUCUUCUACACAUAUAUAUGAAGAUUUUGACCGUUGGGAUCGUCAUUUAGAGGCUUGGAGGUCGGAUAUUUACUGCCCUGAACAGAACAGCUUGCUGGAAGGGUUUCCGGCGGCUGUUUGGUCUUUCCAGCAACAAUAGCGAUUGUUUCCAGCUGAAACAACAAGUGUUAUGUUUAGAUCUUGAAAAUAGGGUUCCAUGGACACCUGAAUUACCCAGAUCGGAGUCCGGAUGACCAAGUUAUGGGCUCGACAAGUUUGUGUCGCAUUUCGUUACAUGAUUUUCUUACAAACCGGUUUAGGACAGCAUGUCCGCAAAGGUACAUGCCAUUUUGGGCGCGAACUUGGUAGGCAACGGGACGGACAUAUGGAAUACGUAUCAACUACUUACGGGUCAAGGUGGCUUGAUUGUGAAUUCUAUUGGAGGUUGAUUCACAAGUUGGAAGCGAUAGUGGACUAUGAAAUUAAAGGAGUCGAGUUCGUUGGAAGUUUGUGAAAAAUAUAGAUCAGAAUCCACCUAUUUGAGUUAUCUAAUAUAUAUUAUAUAUAGAACUCAUAACGUGCAUGUUGGGUUUCAGGUAUAAUGGGAACUAGAGGUUCGCGGACUGAUGAAUGGAACAAGGUUUGGUGACAAAUCUGAGAUCGGGUAAGCAAUGUCAGUUCAUCCAUCCAUCAGGUUAUGUCGCCGGCUUAGACGGGUCAUCAUGUUUUAGUUGCCUUUUACGGCAUUCGGUAGUUUUAAAUCGUGUAAGCUUCAUGAGUCAGACGUAGUGUCUUGUUUUGUUUAUGUUCAAGUUUAGAGUUGUAAAAUGGAUUGUAAACAGGUUUUGUUACCGUAACGGUUAUCCGUAAUACGAACGGGUCAUGCCGAAAUUUUAUAAAAAUUGGAUUGGAAUAUGUAAGUUUUUAAAUGAUGGUAACUAUCAAAUGAAAGUCAUGACAUUAUAAUUGUUUCUAGAAAUUGAAGCUAAAUACAAAUGGGCCUACAUUCCGCAAAUCAUAGUAAGAUUGUUUAGAAAAUUUAUGGGCGUUACAAGUUGGUAUCAGAGCCCUGGUUUGAGGGAAUCAAGUAUGAGAAGGUAAAUACUUGAACUCAAACUUGUGUGCUCUUAUGACAAGGAACCCGUACAAUCCGAGACUCGAUCAAGAUCUAAGGGUAGAGGCAAAGGUAAGUAUGUACUUAAGUUUGUAUUUGAAGGAAACUAACAGUAUGUUAUGUGUAAGGUAAGCAUAAUUGCUUGGAGAGGAUGACCCGUGAAUGCGGUCUAGGACUGCCAUCAAGGCACGUAACAAGAUAAAUUGGUCCCAGGUACGUAAAUUUAACAUGUGGGCGCAUGAACUGGUAAUGUCAAGUUAAGGAAAAUUUAAAAUGAAAAAUAAUAAUAGAAUGGUAAUGAAGUUUUCAAAAUGUCACACGUGCCGAAACCUAAUUCUUCGGACAUAAGGUGACGAUCACACGAAGACACGAAACUAGUAUGUGGAUUGUGUACCUGGCCAGUACACAAGAAACAUAUGAUGUUCGUGAGACCUUGGUAAUUGUUACAGGUAUGUCCGUUAGAAUUAGGGAGUAGGUGGACAUGAGGGUGAAAGGAAAUGUAAGACUCUCAAGAAAUUGAAAGUACCAAACACGAAAGAGAAGUAUGAAUGAUAUGUUAGAAUCCACGAGACCGAUUCGAAACAUAGAAGGAAUGAGAAAGUAUGAAUAAUAUGCUAGAAUCCGCGAGACGGAUUCGAAACAAUGAAGGAAUGAAAGCAUGAAUGAUAUGUUAGAAUCUGCGAGACGGAUUCGAAAUAUGAAAGAAUGAAAGAAUGAAUGAUAUGUUAGAAUCCGCGAGACGGAUUCAAAACAUAGAAGGAGUGACGAAUAUGAAUGAGAUGUUUGAAUCCGUGAGACGGAUUCAAAACAUAGAAAGGAAUGGAAAGUGGAAUGUAAAGUCCGAAUUCGUAAGUAAAUGUGGAUCGAAGAGGUAAUUAUUUUAAGGCAGAUAUUGACCAAGUUAUGUUUUAAAACUUUUUACUAUAUAUAAAUAUAAUUAUGCAAAUGCAUUGUGUGCAAGAUGGUUAAGAGGGACAAAUGAGUUAUGCGGGUCAAAUGGUGCUUGCCAUUUGUACCCGGUAUUUAAUGUUUAAAAUGGUCAAGUCAUAUAUUUGUAGGUGAGCAUAAUGUAUGGUUAUGUAAUGUCACAAAUUGGAAGGAAAUAGUCAACGCAGGGCAUGGAUAACGAGUCAAUGGAUUUGACUUGCGCCAGGUAUGUAUAAAGGUUAUGCUUUUAAUAGGAUCUUUUGGCUCGACUAGAGAGUAAUGUGUCAGAAUAAGAUAACUAAUACGUAUAUGUAAGGAUGUUUUUACAAAUUAAACUUCCAAAAAGUCAAACAGAGUGAAAUAAAAAUUAAGAAGGCAAGUGAUAGAAAAAUAGAAAGAAAAUUUUUGCCCCCCCUCCCCUAAAUAAGUGAGUAUAACCGUUGAAAACGGUUGUUGUAGCAAAAUUUAGUUGGAAGAAAGAAACUUUGAAACAUGUUACGUAUUAGACAUAUUACGAAACGACUCUUGAGGGUAAGAAUGAAUGACGGGUUACGACUUAGACAAUAACUUAAGAGUGGAUGGGAAGGGUAGGUUUUGACAAGGAUACUGUAAUAAUGUAAUGCAGUCUUUACAAGUAUGCAUGAAUGGAAAAGAAGGAUGAAUGUGUACUUCGAUACGUCUGCGAUAAGUAAGAAGUGCAAGUUUGACCUUGAAAAGUCAAACUGCAAAGGUUGAUGAAAUAACCAAUAAAAUGAAAAGACUGUAUGCAAGAAAUGGAAUGCGAUAUGUUUAAAACAUGUACGUAAGAAAUUGUGAAAUAGUCAUAGGCGAACAAACACCAUGUGGAAUGCAAAUAUGAAAAGUUAUGUGCUAACCGUUAAUUUUUACAGAUACGAAUGGUGAAAUUAUUAGUAUAAUGAUAGUAAUAAAGCUGUUGGAAGGAUGCUCACGAGUGGGAGCAUAUUUCACGAAUGAAUGAGACCAAAUUCUGGUACGGAAGGUACCUGUAAAGAAGCGGAACGAUCCGGUUCCCAGAUCACUGAUCAACGCAAUGAGGCGAGGUACAUGCCAUUUUGGGCGCGAACUUGGUAGGCAACGGGACGGACAUAUGGAAUACGUAUCAACUACUUACGGGUCAAGGUGGCUUGAUUGUGAAUUCUAUUGGAGGUUGAUUCACAAGUUGGAAGCGAUAGUGGACUAUGAAAUUAAAGGAGUCGAGUUCGUUGGAAGUUUGUGAAAAAUAUAGAUCAGAAUCCACCUAUUUGAGUUAUCUAAUAUAUAUUAUAUAUAGAACUCAUAACGUGCAUGUUGGGUUUCAGGUAUAAUGGGAACUAGAGGUUCGCGGACUGAUGAAUGGAACAAGGUUUGGUGACAAAUCUGAGAUCGGGUAAGCAAUGUCAGUUCAUCCAUCCAUCAGGUUAUGUCGCCGGCUUAGACGGGUCAUCAUGUUUUAGUUGCCUUUUACGGCAUUCGGUAGUUUUAAAUCGUGUAAGCUUCAUGAGUCAGACGUAGUGUCUUGUUUUGUUUAUGUUCAAGUUUAGAGUUGUAAAAUGGAUUGUAAACAGGUUUUGUUACCGUAACGGUUAUCCGUAAUACGAACGGGUCAUGCCGAAAUUUUAUAAAAAUUGGAUUGGAAUAUGUAAGUUUUUAAAUGAUGGUAACUAUCAAAUGAAAGUCAUGACAUUAUAAUUGUUUCUAGAAAUUGAAGCUAAAUACAAAUGGGCCUACAUUCCGCAAAUCAUAGUAAGAUUGUUUAGAAAAUUUAUGGGCGUUACAAGUUGGUAUCAGAGCCCUGGUUUGAGGGAAUCAAGUAUGAGAAGGUAAAUACUUGAACUCAAACUUGUGUGCUCUUAUGACAAGGAACCCGUACAAUCCGAGACUCGAUCAAGAUCUAAGGGUAGAGGCAAAGGUAAGUAUGUACUUAAGUUUGUAUUUGAAGGAAACUAACAGUAUGUUAUGUGUAAGGUAAGCAUAAUUGCUUGGAGAGGAUGACCCGUGAAUGCGGUCUAGGACUGCCAUCAAGGCACGUAACAAGAUAAAUUGGUCCCAGGUACGUAAAUUUAACAUGUGGGCGCAUGAACUGGUAAUGUCAAGUUAAGGAAAAUUUAAAAUGAAAAAUAAUAAUAGAAUGGUAAUGAAGUUUUCAAAAUGUCACACGUGCCGAAACCUAAUUCUUCGGACAUAAGGUGACGAUCACACGAAGACACGAAACUAGUAUGUGGAUUGUGUACCUGGCCAGUACACAAGAAACAUAUGAUGUUCGUGAGACCUUGGUAAUUGUUACAGGUAUGUCCGUUAGAAUUAGGGAGUAGGUGGACAUGAGGGUGAAAGGAAAUGUAAGACUCUCAAGAAAUUGAAAGUACCAAACACGAAAGAGAAGUAUGAAUGAUAUGUUAGAAUCCACGAGACCGAUUCGAAACAUAGAAGGAAUGAGAAAGUAUGAAUAAUAUGCUAGAAUCCGCGAGACGGAUUCGAAACAAUGAAGGAAUGAAAGCAUGAAUGAUAUGUUAGAAUCUGCGAGACGGAUUCGAAAUAUGAAAGAAUGAAAGAAUGAAUGAUAUGUUAGAAUCCGCGAGACGGAUUCAAAACAUAGAAGGAGUAACGAAUAUGAAUGAGAUGUUUGAAUCCGUGAGACGGAUUCAAAACAUAGAAAGGAAUGGAAAGUGGAAUGUAAAGUCCGAAUUCGUAAGUAAAUGUGGAUCGAAGAGGUAAUUAUUUUAAGGCAGAUAUUGACCAAGUUAUGUUUUAAAACUUUUUACUAUAUAUAAAUAUAAUUAUGCAAAUGCAUUGUGUGCAAGAUGGUUAAGAGGGACAAAUGAGUUAUGCGGGUCAAAUGGUGCUUGCCAUUUGUACCCGGUAUUUAAUGUUUAAAAUGGUCAAGUCAUAUAUUUGUAGGUGAGCAUAAUGUAUGGUUAUGUAAUGUCACAAAUUGGAAGGAAAUAGUCAACGCAGGGCAUGGAUAACGAGUCAAUGGAUUUGACUUGCGCCAGGUAUGUAUAAAGGUUAUGCUUUUAAUAGGAUCUUUUGGCUCGACUAGAGAGUAAUGUGUCAGAAUAAGAUAACUAAUACGUAUAUGUAAGGAUGUUUUUACAAAUUAAACUUCCAAAAAGUCAAACAGAGUGAAAUAAAAAUUAAGAAGGCAAGUGAUAGAAAAAUAGAAAGAAAAUUUUUGCCCCCCCUCCCCUAAAUAAGUGAGUAUAACCGUUGAAAACGGUUGUUGUAGCAAAAUUUAGUUGGAAGAAAGAAACUUUGAAACAUGUUACGUAUUAGACAUAUUACGAAACGACUCUUGAGGGUAAGAAUGAAUGACGGGUUACGACUUAGACAAUAACUUAAGAGUGGAUGGGAAGGGUAGGUUUUGACAAGGAUACUGUAAUAAUGUAAUGCAGUCUUUACAAGUAUGCAUGAAUGGAAAAGAAGGAUGAAUGUGUACUUCGAUACGUCUGCGAUAAGUAAGAAGUGCAAGUUUGACCUUGAAAAGUCAAACUGCAAAGGUUGAUGAAAUAACCAAUAAAAUGAAAAGACUGUAUGCAAGAAAUGGAAUGCGAUAUGUUUAAAACAUGUACGUAAGAAAUUGUGAAAUAGUCAUAGGCGAACAAACACCAUGUGGAAUGCAAAUAUGAAAAGUUAUGUGCUAACCGUUAAUUUUUACAGAUACGAAUGGUGAAAUUAUUAGUAUAAUGAUAGUAAUAAAGCUGUUGGAAGGAUGCUCACGAGUGGGAGCAUAUUUCACGAAUGAAUGAGACCAAAUUCUGGUACGGAAGGUACCUGUAAAGAAGCGGAACGAUCCGGUUCCCAGAUCACUGAUCAACGCAAUGAGGCGAGGUACAUGCCAUUUUGGGCGCGAACUUGGUAGGCAACGGGACGGACAUAUGGAAUACGUAUCAACUACUUACGGGUCAAGGUGGCUUGAUUGUGAAUUCUAUUGGAGGUUGAUUCACAAGUUGGAAGCGAUAGUGGACUAUGAAAUUAAAGGAGUCGAGUUCGUUGGAAGUUUGUGAAAAAUAUAGAUCAGAAUCCACCUAUUUGAGUUAUCUAAUAUAUAUUAUAUAUAGAACUCAUAACGUGCAUGUUGGGUUUCAGGUAUAAUGGGAACUAGAGGUUCGCGGACUGAUGAAUGGAACAAGGUUUGGUGACAAAUCUGAGAUCGGGUAAGCAAUGUCAGUUCAUCCAUCCAUCAGGUUAUAUCGCCGACUUAGACGGGUCAUCAUGUUUUAGUUGCCUUUUACGGAAUUCGGUAGUUUUAAAUCGUGUAAGCUUCAUGAGUCAGACGUAGUGUCUUGUUUUGUUUAUGUUCAAGUUUAGAGUUGUAAAAUGGAUUGUAAACAGGUUUUAUUACCGUAACGGUUAUCCGUAAUACGAACGGGUCAUGUCGAAAUUUUAUAAAAAUUGGAUUGGAAUAUGUAAGUUUUUAAAUGAUGGUAACUAUCAAAUGAAAGUCAUGACACUAUAAUUGUUUCUAGAAAUUGAAGCUAAAUACAAAUGGGCCUACAUUCCGCAAA
RNA transcript from Helianthus annuus (common sunflower), 8045 nucleotides. RefSeq lists it as uncharacterized. The transcript has 7 exons. The record is from RefSeq and is a predicted model, not a curated record. NCBI's taxonomy places the organism in Eukaryota, Viridiplantae, Streptophyta, Magnoliopsida, Asterales, Asteraceae.